Molecule: ribosomal RNA, 199 nt
Filed under: uncultured bacterium
Lineage: Bacteria
Description: partial 16S ribosomal RNA
Rfam family: Bacterial small subunit ribosomal RNA
Source: RNAcentral
ACGCUCGACACCUACGGGAGGCUGCAGUCGGGAAUAUUGCGCAAUGGAGGAAACUCUGACGCAGUGACGCCGCGUAUAGGAAGAAGGUUUUCGGAUUGUAAACUAUUGUCGUUAGGGAAGAGAAAGGACAGUACCUAAGGAGGAAGCUCCGGCUAACUACGUGCCUGCAGCCGCGGUAAUCUGAGCGGGCUGGCAAGGC